CUACGGGGGGCUCCAGGCGCGAAACCUUUACAAUGCACGCAAGUGUGAUAAGGGGAUCCUAAGUGCUCAUGCAUAGCAUGGGCUUUUGCCAAGAGUAAAUAUCUUGGAGAAUAAGUGGUGGGUAAGACUGGUGCCAGCCGCCGCGGUAACACCAGCGCCACGAGUGGCAUCCACGUUUAUUGGGCCUAAAGCGUCCGUAGCCGGUUUGGUAAAUUUCGUGUGAAAUCGUCGGGCUCAACCCGACGGCGCGCUUGAAACACUGCCAGACUUGAGACCGGGAGGGGUUAGAGGUAUUCCAGGGGGAGCGGUAAAAUGUGAUAAUCCCUGGAGGAUCACCUAUGGCGAAGGCAUCUAACCAGAACGGAUCUGACGGUCAGGGACGAAGGCUAGGGGAGCGAUCCGGAUUAGAUACCCGUGUAGUC
RNAcentral lists this ribosomal RNA (422 nucleotides) under uncultured archaeon. RNAcentral describes it as "partial 16S ribosomal RNA". It matches the Rfam family "Archaeal small subunit ribosomal RNA", at positions 323 to 746 of the family's 1478-position model. The record is from RNAcentral.